RNAcentral lists this RNase P RNA (178 nucleotides) under Leuconostoc citreum. RNAcentral's name for it is "partial RNase P RNA component class B". It matches the Rfam family "Bacterial RNase P class B", at positions 197 to 365 of the family's 365-position model. From Rfam's summary of the family: Ribonuclease P (RNase P) is a ubiquitous endoribonuclease, found in archaea, bacteria and eukarya as well as chloroplasts and mitochondria. Its best characterised activity is the generation of mature 5'-ends of tRNAs by cleaving the 5'-leader elements of precursor-tRNAs. Cellular RNase Ps are ribonucleoproteins. The record is from RNAcentral. Lineage: Bacteria; Bacillati; Bacillota; Bacilli; Lactobacillales; Lactobacillaceae.
AAAGUUAGCGUUUGAGACGAGGUAAACCCCACAAGCGGGCAACCCAAACUUUUGGUAGGGGCGGCUAAUCUAGCGAAUUGAAGCGAUGGUUGGUAUGGUUUGAUUACAAACUUAGAUAGAUGAUUACCGAAAGUGAUAUGUACCUGCAUAUCACUGGAACAAAACAUGGCCUAUAGAU